CCUACGGGUGGCUGCAGUGGGGAAUAUUGGACAAUGGGCGAAAGCCUGAUCCAGCCAUGCCGCGUGUGUGAAGAAGGCCUUCGGGUUGUAAAGCACUUUCAGUGGGGAAGAAAGCCUUGGGGCUAAUACCCUCGAGGAAGGACAUCACCCACAGAAGAAGCACCGGCUAACUCCGUGCCAGCAGCCGCGGUAAUACGGAGGGUGCGAGCGUUAAUCGGAAUUACUGGGCGUAAAGCGCGCGUAGGCGGUCUGAUAAGCCGGUUGUGAAGGCCCCGGGCUCAACCUGGGAACGGCAUCCGGAACUGUCAGGCUAGAGUGCAGGAGAGGAAGGUAGAAUUCCCGGUGUAGCGGUGAAAUGCGUAGAGAUCGGGAGGAAUACCAGUGGCGAAGGCGGCCUUCUGGACUGACACUGACGCUGAGGUGCGAAAGCGUGGGUAGCAAACAGGAUUAGAUACCCGAGUAGUC
RNAcentral lists this ribosomal RNA (465 nucleotides) under Vreelandella stevensii. Its description in RNAcentral is "partial 16S ribosomal RNA". It matches the Rfam family "Bacterial small subunit ribosomal RNA", at positions 338 to 795 of the family's 1533-position model. Lineage: Bacteria; Pseudomonadati; Pseudomonadota; Gammaproteobacteria; Oceanospirillales; Halomonadaceae. The record is from RNAcentral.